CAAUAGCGUAUAUUAAAGUUGUUGCAGUUAAAAAGCUCGUAGUUGGAUUUCUGGUAGGAGUGACCGUUCCGAACUUGAUUGUUCGUGUAUUGUGUUUUCUCCAGCCAUCCUUGUGGAGAACUUUUCUUGCAUUAAUUUGUAAGGAUUGGGACCCGCAUCGUUUACUGUGAAAAAAUUAGAGUGUUUAAAGCAGGCAAUCGCUUGAAUACAUUAGCAUGGAAUAAUAAGAUAGGACUUUGGUACUAUUUUGUUGGUUUGCAUACCAAAUUAAUGAUCAACAGGAACAGUUUGAGGAUAUUCGUAUGAACAUGUCAGAGGUGAAAUUCUUGGAUUUUGAUCAGACGAACUACUGCGAAAGCAUUUAUCAAGGAUGUUUUCAUUAA
Molecule: ribosomal RNA, 383 nt
Filed under: uncultured eukaryote
Lineage: Eukaryota
Description: partial 18S ribosomal RNA
Rfam family: Eukaryotic small subunit ribosomal RNA
Source: RNAcentral